Molecule: small nuclear RNA, 164 nt
Organism: Arvicanthis niloticus (Nile rat)
Lineage: Eukaryota; Metazoa; Chordata; Mammalia; Rodentia; Muridae
Product: U1 spliceosomal RNA
Source: RefSeq, a predicted model, not a curated record
AUGCUUACUGGGCAGGGGAGAUACCAUGGUCGGUCAUAAAGGUGGUUUUCCCAGGGCGAGGCUCAUCCAUUGUAUUCUGGACUGGCUGAUCUCUGUAUUUUCCCCAAAAUUGCAAAACUGCAUUAUAGUUUGUGGUAGAGGGGGGGGAUUUGUGCUCUCCCCUU